AGCAAGUUCCGCAAUCGUGAUUCAUGAACUACAUCAAUAUAACUGCAAAAAGGAGCAGGUCGAUUUUAGUUAGCUCAAUCACAUCUCAAAAGGCAUAACUGAGUUGCAAGCAAAAUGGCCUACAAUUACUAACUGCAUCACUGGUUUGUAACAGAAUGGUAGAGUAAAAACUCUUAACCAAAUUUCGUUAAUGGACAUCUUGGCACAACCAACAUAUAGCUUGCUAACUCUAACUGAUUCAGAAAUUAACAGGAAAUAAAUAAAUAACCUCUAACCAAUUUCAUCCUUCCAACAAACUCAUAAUCGUUGAUGGCGACUUCAUAAACUGAACUCCAUUAACUCUUUCUUUUCCCAACUGACUUCAACAGGGAAGCCUAACAGCAAUAACAGUUGUUAACAGAUGCAACUGAAUUCAUAACAGAAUUGGGAAAAAGCUAUAUAAAGGGAACUUACUGUGAUUGAAGAGGAGAGAAUCAUUUUUCACCAUAACAAAACUUCAACUCUCCCUCUGAUAAGGAGUCCCUAAAACCUGCAGAACCAGGGGAAAUCUCUCAGAAACGAUCUUCCAAAAACCUUCUUCAUCCUCCAUUUUCCUACCAUCCACAUUCAACCGUCAUCUCCAACAAAAACCU
Molecule: long non-coding RNA, 632 nt
Filed under: Lathyrus oleraceus (garden pea)
Lineage: Eukaryota; Viridiplantae; Streptophyta; Magnoliopsida; Fabales; Fabaceae
Description: Pisum sativum (pea) long non-coding RNA (PSAT_LNC041896)
Source: RNAcentral